Molecule: ribosomal RNA, 543 nt
Filed under: uncultured bacterium
Lineage: Bacteria
Description: bacterial SSU rRNA
Rfam family: Bacterial small subunit ribosomal RNA
Source: RNAcentral
UUAGGAAUUUUGGGCAAUGGGCGCAAGCCUGACCCAGCAACGCCGCGUGGGUGACGAAGGCCUUCGGGUUGUAAAGCCCUUUUGGAAGGGAAGAUGAUGACGGUACCUUUCGAAGAAGCACCGGCUAACUACGUGCCAGCAGCCGCGGUAAUACGUAGGGUGCAAGCGUUGCCCGGAUUUAUUGGGCGUAAAGGGCGCGUAGGCGGCUCUGCACGUCCGUUGUGAAAUCGCCCGGCUCAACUGGGCGGGGUCAGCGGAUACGGCGGAGCUUGAGCAAGCUAGGGGGCAAUGGAAUUCCCGGUGUAGUGGUGGAAUGCGUAGAUAUCGGGAGGAACACCAGUGGCGAAGGCGGUUGCCUGGGGCUUUGCUGACGCUGAGGCGCGAAAGCGUGGGGAGCGAUCCGGAUUAGAUACCCGGGUAGUCCACGCCGUAAACGAUGUCGACUAGGUGUCGGGGGUAUCGACCCCCUCGGCGCCGCAGCUAACGCAUUAAGUCGACCGCCUGGGGACUACGGCCGCAAGGCUAAAACUCAAAGGAAUUGAC